RNAcentral lists this ribosomal RNA (449 nucleotides) under uncultured bacterium. Its description in RNAcentral is "bacterial SSU rRNA". It matches the Rfam family "Bacterial small subunit ribosomal RNA", at positions 329 to 795 of the family's 1533-position model. The record is from RNAcentral.
UGCCAGACUCCUACGGGAGGCAGCAGUGGGGAAUAUUGCACAAUGGGGGAAACCCUGAUGCAGCGACGCCGCGUGAGCGAAGAAGUAUUUCGGUAUGUAAAGCUCUAUCAGCAGGGAAGAAAAUGACGGUACCUGACUAAGAAGCCCCGGCUAACUACGUGCCAGCAGCCGCGGUAAUACGUAGGGGGCAAGCGUUAUCCGGAAUCACUGGGUGUAAAGGGAGCGUAGACGGCUGUGCAAGCCUGAAGUGAAAGGCGGGGGCCCAACCCCUGGACUGCUUUGGGAACUGUACGGCUGGAGUGCAGGAGAGGUAAGUGGAAUUCCUAGUGUAGCGGUGAAAUGCGUAGAUAUUAGGAGGAACACCAGUGGCGAAGGCGGCUUACUGGACUGUAACUGACGUUGAGGCUCGAAAGCGUGGGGAGCAAACAGGAUUAGAUACCCCGGUAACU